RNAcentral lists this ribosomal RNA (497 nucleotides) under uncultured bacterium. RNAcentral's name for it is "partial 16S ribosomal RNA". It matches the Rfam family "Bacterial small subunit ribosomal RNA", at positions 28 to 507 of the family's 1533-position model. The record is from RNAcentral.
GAUGAACGCUGGCGGCGUGCCUAAUACAUGCAAGUCGAGCGAACAGAUGAGGAGCUUGCUCCUCUGACGUUAGCGGCGGACGGGUGAGUAACACGUGGAUAACCUACCUAUAAGACUGGGAUAACUUCGGGAAACCGGAGCUAAUACCGGAUAAUAUAUUGAACCGCAUGGUUCAAUAGUGAAAGACGGUUUUGCUGUCACUUAUAGAUGGAUCCGCGCCGCAUUAGCUAGUUGGUAAGGUAACGGCUUACCAAGGCAACGAUGCGUAGCCGACCUGAGAGGGUGAUCGGCCACACUGGAACUGAGACACGGUCCAGACUCCUACGGGAGGCAGCAGUAGGGAAUCUUCCGCAAUGGGCGAAAGCCUGACGGAGCAACGCCGCGUGAGUGAUGAAGGUCUUCGGAUCGUAAAACUCUGUUAUUAGGGAAGAACAAAUGUGUAAGUAACUGUGCACGUCUUGACGGUACCUAACCAGAAAGCCACGGCUAACUACGUG